CAGUAGCCACGGUAAGACAGAGGAUGCAAGCGUUAUCCGGAAUGAUUGGGCGUAAAGGGCUCGCAGGCGGUUUCUUAAGUCUGAUGUGAAAGCCCCCGGCUCAACCGGGGAGGGUCAUUGGAAACUGGGAAACUUGAGUGCAGAAGAGGAGAGUGGAAUUCCACGUGUAGCGGUGAAAUGCGUAGAGAUGUGGAGGAACACCAGUGGCGAAGGCGACUCUCUGGUCUGUAACUGACGCUGAGGAGCGAAAGCGUGGGGAGCGAACAGGAUUAGAUACCCGUGUAGUCCCUGUCUCUUAUAC
This 301-nucleotide ribosomal RNA is filed under the name uncultured bacterium. Its description in RNAcentral is "partial 16S ribosomal RNA". It matches the Rfam family "Bacterial small subunit ribosomal RNA", at positions 509 to 807 of the family's 1533-position model. The record is from RNAcentral.